CCUACGGGGGGCUGCAGUGGGGAAUAUUGCACAAUGGGCGCAAGCCUGAUGCAGCCAUGCCGCGUGUGUGAAGAAGGCCUUCGGGUUGUAAAGCACUUUCAGCGGGGAGGAAGGCGGUGAGGUUAAUAACCUCACCGAUUGACGUUACCCGCAGAAGAAGCACCGGCUAACUCCGUGCCAGCAGCCGCGGUAAUACGGAGGGUGCAAGCGUUAAUCGGAAUUACUGGGCGUAAAGCGCACGCAGGCGGUCUGUCAAGUCGGAUGUGAAAUCCCCGGGCUCAACCUGGGAACUGCAUUCGAAACUGGCAGGCUAGAGUCUUGUAGAGGGGGGUAGAAUUCCAGGUGUAGCGGUGAAAUGCGUAGAGAUCUGGAGGAAUACCGGUGGCGAAGGCGGCCCCCUGGACAAAGACUGACGCUCAGGUGCGAAAGCGUGGGGAGCAAACAGGAUUAGAUACCCCGGUAGUC
This 465-nucleotide ribosomal RNA is filed under the name uncultured Klebsiella sp. RNAcentral's name for it is "bacterial SSU rRNA". It matches the Rfam family "Bacterial small subunit ribosomal RNA", at positions 338 to 795 of the family's 1533-position model. Lineage: Bacteria; Pseudomonadati; Pseudomonadota; Gammaproteobacteria; Enterobacterales; Enterobacteriaceae. The record is from RNAcentral.